Gallus gallus (chicken) is the source of this 4675-nucleotide RNA transcript. RefSeq lists it as uncharacterized. The transcript is spliced from 2 exons. Lineage: Eukaryota; Metazoa; Chordata; Aves; Galliformes; Phasianidae. The record is from RefSeq and is a predicted model, not a curated record.
CUCCGAUGUCACGUCGGGGCUGCCCGGCCGCCGCUUUGCAGCACCGCAGCUCCCGUCAGUCCCGGGUAAAUUUGUCAACAAUUCGCAACCGGGCUGGUAAUUGCAUUCCUGGAAUCCGCAGCGCGAGAUGUAAAGAUAGGAAGCUGCCUCGACUUUCCGCUUGGAAUAAUCGCUCCUGCUCGCAGCGACCCGUUCGUUCCUCUCCCCGCGUCCCUCCGGACGCGCUCCCUCCUCCUGCCGUGCCUUACCCACAGCCGCUCCAGAACCAUCGCUGGCCGCACCCCACUCGUGCCCCACCGCUGCGGGAUGAGACGCAGCUCCCCGCUCCCUUCUGCGCCCACACCCCCGACCCAACUUUCCGUCCUGGCCCGCGCCGCUGCCGCCCAGGAAUGGGACAAAGUUGAACUCCGUUGGCAGCCGGAGAGCGACUCGAGGGCAGAAUUCGAGCAAAAGCUCUGAUUUGCCGAAUUCUGCUCUUUGAUUUGUAUUUGUGCGUUAUUGCUACUGCUAAGGUUGUUGCCAACCUCAAUUAGAUCACAAAUGAGAUCAGUUUAAUUCAACUCCCAAACUGUGACCUGACCGUGGUCUGAAAGUAUUCAAAAACGCGUUUUAAGCCUUCCUUUGAUUUCAAAAGGAAUACUGCAUGCUUGGUCAUUCAUACAAAUAACAUAAAACGUAAUUAUGGGAUGAUUUGGCAGAUGACAUUCCUGCCAAACGCCGCUCCAUGCCAGGCGCUGUAAUGCUAUGGCUGCUGUCCUGGUGGCUGAGCGCAGCCCCGGUGCAGGGCGGGAGCCAUGGGAUGGAGGUGCUGGGAUGGCUUUGGGGAGGCACAGCACGGAGCCCCCAGCCCAAAACUGCUGCAUCACUCGGGGGGGAAUGCGGAUGCACUGUCGGAUCACCGGGAGGCUGUGACAAAGGGAGCUUGCAGCUCGACACACGGGUAACAACAUAGCAAACACCUUUAAUUCUGUCAUGUCUCAUACCCUUUGCUUUCUCACACGUUCGUGGCUGCUCUAACAUUGACACCUACACUUUAAAAAAAAAAAAAAAUCGGCAAAAAAAACCUCGACAACAAAAAUCUUCAAAUGAAGCAAUCUUAUUCUAUAGCCAAAAAAUAAAGAAAAAAGAAAAAAAAGGAAAAAAAAAAAAGAAAAAAAGGAAAGAAAGAAACACCUGGAAAGUUAUGCUCAGUGAAAAUAACCAACUUCUGAGCUCGUUCUCCAAGCAGCUCGGAGCAGAUCAGCCUUCCCCACGCAGAAGGCUCUUCCCCCUCUGCACCCUGCAGAGCUGCCCUCCAGCAGCCCUGAGCCAUGCCAAUGGGUUUGCCCUCGGGACUUCUCCUCUGCCCGGCUGCUGGAGCAGGGAUCCUGCAGGGAUCCUCCCUUAGCAGAGCUUUUGGAAUCUGAAGUGGAUGUUACAGGUGUGAGGGUACGUAGGUAUAGUAGAGAGUCAUACGUAGGCAUAUAGAGAUAUGUAGGUAUGUAGAGAUACAUAGGUAUAUAUAGGGUGAGUGUGUGUGCAACUCCUAAGCUAUGAAGGACACUUUGUGGCAACGUCUAACAGCUCUUCCCAACCCUUUACUCGACCCCAAAAGCUCACCUACACAGAGGUGGGAUGAGCUCAGCAGUGCCACCUCCUCACCCCACCUGCCCUAUGCCUGUGGCACACGAAGGGUUAACGCGUGGUGGGUUCCCUGGGUAGGUUAAUAUCACAGCUGCCUGGUAAAGCAUUACCCAGCACCUCACUCCACAAAAGCCUGCUUUUGCAAACAGACUCCUACUUUUCCCCAAGUGUCCAAAGGUGUUUACCGAAGUAAAUCUGCCUAAAUCCUCCAUCGCUUGGGUCAUGGGGGUGGUUAGGAGGGUGGAAGGUGUAGAGAUAAUCUCUUUUUGUAAAUUCUGUAAAUCUUCUGGGGAAGGAAAGAAAAAAAAAAUCAGGAAUCUGUGUCACAUGCUUCUGUUCAACCAGGAACAUCUCGGGGAGUGCAGCCCUUAUGGGUGAGAUCUGCCACGGAGCGACGGGGAAACGCGACAUCCCACCGCCCGCAUUGCACAGCCCUGCCCUCCCCAAGUGCCUUCAGCACGUUGAAUCUAUUUGCUCUUGGGGGAGGUUAGGGGAGAAUGAAACCAAAACUGUGAGGGUCUUAAAAGUGGUUUCUGGAAGAAAAUGACAGUUUGGUCGGCAGGAGAUAGCGGAGCUGCAAAGUUGUCACUCGAGAUCUCCGCGCUGCCCCGGUUCUUCCAAUACCAGCGCUGCGUAUUACUUUGUGCGUGUUGCAAAUAGAGGCAAACAACACAGGAAAUUUUGACAGCUCUGCCUGAAAGGGCUUAAAUACUUCUCAGUAAGCAGGAUCCGGUUAUAAAUAAACCUCCUCUUGGUGAGAAAAAGUGGCUGCGACCAAAGACCUCGCCAUCUUUUUAUUAUUAUUAUUAUUUUUCAGGGCUGUCUUAUUAAAAGCGCAGAAGAGCUUCAGAAGAACAAACAAACAGACAAAUCUGGGGAGGGGGGGCGGCCGGAAAGUGCCCAUGGACGUGACUGGGGGAAGCCAUGAGGGAGCCGGGCUGGAGAAAGUUCCACCGAUCCGCCUUCCUCCUCUCCUCCUCCUCCUGCGGCCGCGGAGCCGCUGCUUUUCCCCGUGCCCGGGGAUCCCGGACCACAGCAUCCUCGUAGGGAAGGGGGAAAAGCAAUCGGAGCCCCCCAAAAAUGGGGGAAAAGGGCGAUUUCUCGGCGCCGAGCUGCUCGCCGGGGGUGGCCGAGAUCGCCUGGCCCCCGCUCCCCAAGGUCACGAAUGCAAAUGUAGCCUGCCGGCGGUGAAUGGGCUGAAUUGUGAUUAAGAAGAAGAAGAGCUCCUUUCUUUGUUCUCCCCUCAGGGGAUGUUUACUGGGAGAGACACAGCGGAUCAGAUAUGAAAGGCAUUCAGGUCAGCAUUGAUGUGAGCGAAAGUGAAAUCAUACCUAAGGCAUUCAAAAGACCGCCGUGUCAGGGGUUCAGCUAACGGUGCAUCUACUGUGUGUGUCUUCCCUGUUAGGCACAAAAAAAAAAAGAAGAAAAAAAAAGAAAAAAAAAAAAGAAAAAAAAAUACUUUCCACAAACAGGCUUUUUUUUUUUCCCUUUUUUUUCUUUUUUUUUUUUUUAAAUUACAACAAAAAUUAUGGGGAGAGGAGGACAAUAAAUACAAACUUUUCCUUCGCUGCACCUCCCGAGCAGGAGCCACUUGGUGCUCUGUCCCUGGCACAGCGGGCACAGAACAGGUCCACACGCAUUCAUUGCAGCCCUUGGGAUCAGAGUCAUUUUUAGGGGGAAAUGAUCUCGUCUGGAAUGUGCACCGUUGUAUUUCAGUGCCUUAUCUGUGUGUGUGCACACGGGCACCCUCUCCAUGCACACAGAGGUGUGUACGCACGCAUGGCGACAUCCACCAGACAUGGCUCUCCAUAAGCUGCGAGGCUUACUUCUGCCAUACGAAACACGGGCAAUCAUCCCUCGCCUCCCUCCUUCCAUGAUAAGGCAGCGUGGCACAUUGCAGCAGCACAGCACACCUCCAAAAGUGAUCUCCUAUUGACUUUGCAACUCCCAGGAAUACUUUGCAGACCGCUCACAGCCCACGAGGCCGGCGGUGCAGCACGCAAAGUUGGUGCUCAGCUAUGGAAGUUACACCGCCUCGAGGAGGAGAGGCAUUGUCCUUUUAUUUUCAUUAAACUUGCUUGAUCAAGAAAUAGCUGCAUCUUCCUUCCUCCCCUUAUUCUUUUUUUUUUUCGAGUGCGUGCUCCUCACAGCCUAAAUAUCCCCUCCAUAGACUUUCCACACAGCUAGCUGACGCUGUUGGCAUAAACACAGACACGUGAAUAUAUAGAAAGCACAAACUGCAGCUAAGCAUGCAGAGUUAGGAGGUGGCUGCACUCGUGGAAAAUGAAAACCACUCAACAGCAAAAAAUAACAAGAAAAAGGCUGAAAAAUUCAGCAGCGGCGAGCAUCCCCUCUGCUCUGGAUUUGUUUACACCUCCAGAGCCUUAGUUAAAAUAUAUGGGUUGUCUAAUGCUCACAUCUGCUUUAAUGGUGACGUUUAAUUCUGAGAUAUUUUCAACUAGUGUUUCUGCAGCACGGAUUUCUCCCCUUUUUCUCUUUACUCUAAAAAGACAACUAAAGAGCAAUCAAAAAGGUGUCUGACUUGGCCAUUCAGACAAUUGCACCCUUGUGGGAAUGCUGGAAUGAAUGGUACAGUGGACACCCCAGCACUAUUGACGUUAUAAACAUGUAAAUGAAACACAUUAGGGCAGACAAUCAAUUGUCUGUGAGCACUGCAAACCUGCACUCCCUUUCUGUGUGACAGGCACAAAAUAGUGUCUACCUUGGGAAGCCAUGGUCUUGGGGGAAAAAAAGGACAAAGAGUUCUCUUUCACAGAGGAGAAAAUGCACCUUAAAAGCACUGGGAUAAUGCAGAUGCCAAAAAGUGUUGUGAGGCGAAGAAUUUCCUAUUUCUUGGAAUGAAUGUGGGGCUGCUGUAAAAGGAUCAACACCCUUCUUCCCACUCUGAACGGACACACAUUUUUCUUGGGGGACGUUACCAGCCUGUCCUGAGAGCUCGCAUCUCCAUUUCCCUGAUAUUUCCCCCCUUGGGCAGCUGGCUAUCCAGUUAUCAACAAUUAGUUUGUAAUUGUUUCCUUCUUCCCCCCCCCCC